This 494-nucleotide ribosomal RNA is filed under the name uncultured bacterium. Its description in RNAcentral is "partial 16S ribosomal RNA". It matches the Rfam family "Bacterial small subunit ribosomal RNA", at positions 28 to 507 of the family's 1533-position model. The record is from RNAcentral.
GACGAACGCUGGCGGCGUGCUUAACACAUGCAAGUCGAACGGAAAGGCCUGUCCUUCCUUGUGUUGGACGGGUACUCGAGUGGCGAACGGGUGAGUAACACGUGAGUGAUCUGCCCCCAACUUGGGUAUAAGCCUGGGAAACUGGGUCUAAUUCCCGAUAGGACUGCAGGGUGGUGCCUGUGGUGGAAAACGAUUUUCUAGUGGUUGGGGAUGAGCUCGCGGCCUAUCAGCUUGUUGGUGGGGUAAUGGCCUACCAAGGCGGCGACGGGUAGCCGGCCUGAGAGGGUGGACGGCCACAUUGGGACUGAGACACGGCCCAGACGCCUACGGGAGGCAGCAGUGGGGAAUAUUGCGCAAUGGGCGGAAGCCUGAUGCAGCGACGCCGCGUGGGAGAUGACGGCCUUCGGGUUGUAAACUCCUUUCGACCGCGAGGAAGCCGCCUGGUUGGAAGGGUGGUGACGGUAGUGGUAGAAGAAGCACCGGCUAACUACGUG